This 463-nucleotide ribosomal RNA is filed under the name uncultured anaerobic ammonium-oxidizing bacterium. RNAcentral describes it as "bacterial SSU rRNA". It matches the Rfam family "Bacterial small subunit ribosomal RNA", at positions 366 to 819 of the family's 1533-position model. The record is from RNAcentral.
UCGCAAUGCCCGAAAGGGUGACGAAGCGACGCCGCGUGUGGGAAGAAGGCCUUCGGGUUGUAAACCACUGUCGGGAGUUAAGAAAUGUAAGGAUGUUAAUAGCGUCCUUACUUGACUAAGGCUCCGGAGGAAGCCACGGCUAACUCUGUGCCAGCAGCCGCGGUAAUACAGAGGUGGCAAGCGUUGUUCGGAAUUAUUGGGCGUAAAGAGCACGUAGGCGGCCUUGAAAGUCAGUUGUGAAAGCCUUCUGCUUAACGGAAGAACAGCAGCUGAUACUGCAAGGCUAGAGUGCGGAAGGGGAGAGUGGAACUUCUGGUGGAGCGGUGAAAUGCGUAGAUAUCAGAAGGAACACCGGCGGCGAAGGCGACUCUCUGGUCCGUAACUGACGCUGAGUGUGCGAAAGCUAGGGGAGCAAACGGGAUUAGAUACCCCGGUAGUCCUAGCCGUAAACGAUGGGCACUAA